AGUGGAAUAGCUGGAUCAAAUGGUGGUUCCAUUCCCAGUUUUCUGAGGAAUCUCCAUACCGUUUUCCAUAGUGGUUGCACCAAUUUGCAGUUCCACCAGCAAU
Molecule: microRNA precursor, 103 nt
Filed under: Marmota monax (woodchuck)
Lineage: Eukaryota; Metazoa; Chordata; Mammalia; Rodentia; Sciuridae
Source: RNAcentral